RNAcentral lists this long non-coding RNA (961 nucleotides) under Populus tremula. RNAcentral's name for it is "long non-coding RNA (PTRE_LNC002462)". Lineage: Eukaryota; Viridiplantae; Streptophyta; Magnoliopsida; Malpighiales; Salicaceae. The record is from RNAcentral.
AAGGAGUAUUUUCACCAAACAUACAAACACUUACACGUGUAUGAAAGGUAUUUAACCUCUCCUUUCCUUCCUUUAUUUCUCUUCUUUUAUUUUUAUUAUUCCAUACUCUUUCCGUUGUAAUGAGUAUUAGAGCAUUUUCAACGAACAUACAUAUAUAAAAGGGUUUUAACCUCUUCCUUCCUUCCUUCAUUUAAUUUUUAUUAUUAUUAUUAUUAUUAUUACUACUCCAUACUCUCCCUCUCCCUCUCCCUCUCGCUAUGUAUUUUGUUACCCACAAAUCUCACGUUUUCACCGAACAUACAUACAUUCUUACAUAUAUGAAAGGUAUUUAACCUCUCCCUUCCUUCUUUUAUCGACUCUCUUUUAUUUUUAUUAUUCCAUACUCUUUCCUUUGUAAUGAGUAUCAGAGCAUUUUCAACGAACAUACAUCUAUAAAAGGUAUUUAACCUCUUCCUUCCUUCCUUCAUUUAAUUUCUUUUAUCAUCAUUAUUAUUAUUAUUACUCCAUACUCUCCCGCUCCCUCUCUCUAUGUAUUUUGUUACCCACAAAUCUCACGUUUUCAAAUUUGAUGGUUAGCGUAUUUUCACCGUGCAGCAUGUAACCGUACGAAUAUUAUUUAACCGAGCAUUUUCAUCUUUAUUCUUAAAUACAAAGAUUUUUAACCUCUCCCUUCCUUCCUUCCUUAAUUUAAUUUCUUUUAUUAUUACUCCAUAUCCUCUCUAUCUCUCUCUAUUUAUUUUAUUAUCAACAAAUCUAUCUUUUUAUAUUUGACGGUUAGAGCAUUUUCACCGUGCGGAUAUUAUUCUUGAAUACAAAGGUUUUUAACCUCUUCCUUCCUUCCUUCCUGAAUUAAAUUCAAUUUAAUUUAUCAUAUUCUCUCUAUCUGAUUAUUCUAUCAUCCACAAUCCUCAUCUGAUCAAAUUAUUAUUGUUUUUCUUUGAAUAUUCGCAACUGUUUUUCA